CCUGAGCCCGGGCCGCGCAG
This 20-nucleotide microRNA is filed under the name Pan troglodytes (chimpanzee). Its description in RNAcentral is "ptr-miR-1199-5p". RNAcentral also lists the same sequence under 2 other names. The record is from miRBase by way of RNAcentral. Lineage: Eukaryota; Metazoa; Chordata; Mammalia; Primates; Hominidae.